Molecule: microRNA precursor, 200 nt
Filed under: Oryza sativa Indica Group (long-grained rice)
Lineage: Eukaryota; Viridiplantae; Streptophyta; Magnoliopsida; Poales; Poaceae
Description: MIR812 microRNA precursor family
Rfam family: MIR812 microRNA precursor family
Source: Rfam by way of RNAcentral
AAAAAGACAAACCCUGAGUUUUCAUGUCCAACGUUUGACCGUCCGUCUUAUUUAAAAAAAAUAUGAAAAAAAAGACAAGUCACACAUAAAGUAUUAAUCAUGUUUUAUCAUCUAACAACAAUGAAAAUACUAAUUAUAAAAAAAUUUCAUAUAAGACGACAGUCAAACGUUGGAUACGAAAACCCAGGGUUUGUCUUUUU